UUCGAUGGAUGAAGGAUGAAUUCGUCUAUUGAUCCAUUCGAAACGUGGUCGAAAUGUUCCUUCAGAAAUUUUCUGUUGAAUUUAAUAACUCGCCUCUUAUAUUCAUACAAUUUGCCCAUUAUAUUUCCUUUCUCUAGAUUGCCGACACUGAGUAGGCGGCAAAGUGUUUCAUACGAAAUGUUCGAAAAUUACUUAAAAUCGUUCCAUAAAUGUGAUAUUAUCGAAAUUCUACGCCAUGAUGAUAAUUCCAAACAUUUUUCUUUGAAUAUAGAUUUUUUAGUCCUUUAUGAACAUCAAUCAGAUUUAGUGGUCACCUUAUUGAAUGAUCCAGAAAAAUGUUUACAAGACUGGGAGAAGGCAACUUUGUUGGCACAGAUGACUGUGUUGAAGGAAGCCGAUCAAAAUUCACAACUGAAGAACUUUGUUCACUGCCGUAUAUAUAACUUACCUUUUUGGCCUGCUGUUAGACGAUCUAUUUUUCCAAGCAAUGGUGAUGCUGGAAAAUUUUUACAAAUAUCCGGUACUGUUAUGAAAAUCACUACCCCAAAACUUCUGGAAUACCAGCGAAGUUACGUUUGUGUUAAAUGUAAAAGACCAACAUUGGUUAAAGCUGAAUAUGAUAGAAAAUACAUAAUAAAGCAACCAAAGAAGUGUGAUAAUCCAGAGGUAUGUUCUGGUACCAAUCUGGUGCAUUUUGGUGAAUUAGACAGUGAAAACUGUAAAGAUUAUCAAGAAAUAAAAAUACAAGAACAGGUAAAAAAAUUAGGAGUUAGUUCCAUGCCAAAUACAAUUUGGGUAACCCUUGAAGAUGACUUGGUUGAUAGCUGUAAACCUGGAGACAACGUAACAAUUUGUGGUAUAGUCAAAAGAAGAUGGGGUGAAUUUGAUAAAGGAAGAAAAAUUGAUAUUGACCUUGUUUUUAAAGCAAACCAUGUCCAGAUUGAUAACAGUAAUAGUGCUAUAUCUGCUUCAACACCUGAAGUUAAAGAAAUGUUCAAAUCUUUCUGGGAGAAAUAUGCAGAUAAUUCGUUAGAAGGAAGAGACUCAAUUUUGAAAUCAUUUUGUCCGCAGAUUUAUGGAUUAUAUUUAGUUAAAUUGGCCAUAGCCGUAGUUCUGGCAGGUGGUAGUCACAUUGAAGAUAUGAGUACAUCUACAGGUGUUCGAACAAGAUCUGAACCCCAUCUCAUACUAGUUGGUGACCCUGGAACAGGAAAAUCACAGUUACUAAGAUUUGCUUCUAAAAUAAUUCCCCGGUCAGUCCUUACAACAGGAGUCGGAUCCACUGCAGCUGGAUUAACAGUUACAGCUACUAUGGAACAUGGAGAAUGGCAACUUGAAGGAGGAGCACUGGUAAUGGCUGACGGUGGAAUUUGUUGUAUCGAUGAGUUUAAUUCAAUGAAAGAACAUGAUCGUACAUGCAUACAUGAAGCCAUGGAACAACAAACCAUAAGUGUGGCUAAGGCAAGUAUGGUGUGUAAACUCAAUACAAGAUGUUCCAUAUUAGCUGCUUGCAAUCCCAAGGGGAACUUGGACCCUUCUCAGCCCUUAGGCAUGAACAUAGCUCUGCCAAGUCCUCUUUUGAGCCGCUUUGAUCUUAUUUUGUUGCUAAGAGAUACUGUUAAUCAGGAAUGGGAUGAUCGCAUUGCUGAAUAUAUAUUAAAUGGGGGUGGUAACUUUUCUAAGCUUACUGAUGGAGGAUUAUGGUCACUAGAUAUUUUGCAGACAUACUUUGUUACUAUAAAAAAACUACACCCCAAACUGUCUAAGGAUGCUGAAGUUAUUUUAGGAACUUAUUAUCAAAUGCAACGAAGAAUAGAUACCAGAAACAAAGCAAGAACCACUGUAAGAUUAUUGGAGAGCUUGUUCAUAUCCCACAAGUUUCUGACGGUUCCUCAAAGUCAUGGAUAGGAAGAAAUAUAAAUAUAAUCGAGUAAGAGUUCCUCCCAUUACUGAACUUCCGACUAUAGUAGUUGACAGCCCUCACGAAAAAUUGUCAUACGCAGAAGAAGAAACCGACUUCAUAGACGAACAUUUAGGAAUGGCUGAUCGAAAGGAUAUCGAGGAUGAACAAGGCGAGGACACUCGGUCUGAAAUAGAGAAACGCCAAGAUGCUUUGGGAAGAAGGAACAGCAUAUCGUUGCCAAAUUUAGACGACAUGAAAAUGUUCACAUCAACCGUGGACAUGCAAGAUUUUGAGAGAAGCGGUGAAGUUCUGAACACACCAACAGAAGAUGAUGAAGAGUUUCAAUAUAUCAGGUGAG
RNAcentral lists this unclassified non-coding RNA (2261 nucleotides) under Leptinotarsa decemlineata (Colorado potato beetle). Its description in RNAcentral is "dNA helicase MCM9-like, transcript variant X1". The record is from RNAcentral. Lineage: Eukaryota; Metazoa; Arthropoda; Insecta; Coleoptera; Chrysomelidae.